UGGGGAAUAUUGGUCAAUGGGCGAAAGCCUGAACCAGCAAUGCCGCGUGAGUGAUGAAGGCCUUCGGGUUGUAAAGCUCUGUCAGUGGGAACGAAUAAGCCAAUUAAUACCUGGUGAUGACGGUACCCACAAAGGAAGCACCGGCUAACUCUGUGCCAGCAGCCGCGGUAAUACAGAGGGUGCAAGCGUUGUUCGGAAUUACUGGGCGUAAAGCGCGUGUAGGCGGUUUGAUAAGUUGGGUGUGAAAUCCCUCGGCUCAACCGAGGAACUGCAUUCAAAACUGUCAGACUAGAGUAUCGGAGGGGGUGGCGGAAUUCCCGGUGUAGAGGUGAAAUUCGUAGAUAUCGGGAGGAACACCUGUGGCGAAGGCGGCCACCUGGAAGAUUACUGACGCUGAGACGCGAAAGCGUGGGGAGCAAACAGGAUUAGAUACCCCCGUAGUCC
Molecule: ribosomal RNA, 444 nt
Filed under: uncultured bacterium
Lineage: Bacteria
Description: bacterial SSU rRNA
Rfam family: Bacterial small subunit ribosomal RNA
Source: RNAcentral